AGUGUUUGUGUUGUGGUUUUGGGGGAGGGAGGCGGAGGGGAAAGUUUGUUUAUUUUGUUUUUAGUUUCUGGGGUCCCCGAGCUUCGGGAAGGUGAAGCGAGCGACAGUGAUCCCCCUCGCCUCUCAGCCUCCCCGCGACGUUGCCGCCACAGCUUGCGGAGAAGCGGAGACCGCGGUCACCGCCGGGCUCCACCGCGGAAGGACGCGCACUCCGAGCCGGCGCGGCUCAGCGGGUUUUGGCUUUUUGCACUGAAUGUAACCUAGACUGUUCGUCUCAGUUGCCCCAGGAUACUGUCAGAGGCAGUGUUUGUGUGUGUCUGCAGAGUUUUGCACAGAGUCUGUUCCCAUGCAAACCAAUGAGGGAGAAGUAGAGGAAGAAAGCAGCUCCCAGGUGGAACAGGAGGAUUUUGUAAUGGAAGGGCAUGGCAAGACGCCACCUCCUGGAGAAGAGAGCAAACCGUGAGUCACAGUUUAUUAAAAGGGUCCUAUUACAGCUCCCCAGAAGCAGUUGGUUCAGGGCGCUGAGAGCAGGUUCGCUGGGCUGUGUACACUUGGGAGAUCCUGCAGAGCAGGCCAGUUGCUUUGUUGAUGCAUUACUUCUAUUUAUAGAUGAACGAGAGGGACAAGAAAGUUGGCUUUGUUGUUUUUCACACUUGGCUAAUCAGAAUUUAUGUUACGUUUCAGCAAAAGCUUUACGGCUCAGGAUGUUCCAAAUUGAACUAAUUAAGUUUGGGUGUUUUCCAAAGAAAGUAUGAAAUGGCGCUUCCUUUCCUUAGCCAGGUCUUCAUGAAGGAGGCUCACUGCACACUCCAAGUGUGGGAUUGUCUGCACACUACUUCCUGAAAUUCAAUUCCAGUGAUAAUUGAAACUUCUGAUCACUAUUAAAAUAAAGUUUUUAUCUGAUGAAACAGAAGCUAAAAAUACUAUGACUUAGCCAACAUUCUUAGUAGUUCAGGAUUUAUCUCUUCCCCACUUCUGAAAAAGCAGCUGGUUUUGAACUUCAAUUUGGGACCUUUGGUAUAGCUUUUUAGUGGCUGUAAAUAGAUCUUAUUUUCCCUUAAUCUGUCAUAGAAUUGAGAAAAUGGUGUUUCAAAGCAGACUGGUUUUUCAUAUGCCCUUUUAAAGGAAAAACACUUAAGAUGGACUUAAAGCACUGACAUAACUCCAAGUUGUAUUUAGACAGUAGUUUCCUAAAUUGAAUGCGAUGGUGAUUCAUGAAAUUUACCAAAAUCUGUAAAGAAAACUCCUCUUCUUGGUCCUUCUCCCCCUUUUUUGCUUUCCUAGAAAAUAGUUUAAUUUAUUUUGGUGGAUCUUAAGAAAAUGAUGUUUCCUAAACCCUUAGGAAUGAAUUAUGCAGACUAGACUGCUGCCAGGAGGCCAGAUUCAUUAAAGGGGAAUGCCUUGUCUUAUGUUUGUUGUGAAUGGAAACCAGGAGAUCUUCACAGCCCUUUAAUUUGCUAAGCUAACAGUUUUAAAAAUAGCUCACAGUAUAAUCCUAACUUUGCUCCAUUCUGUCUACUGCACUUUCAUUUUAGAUGAGCUGAUGGCAUCAAUUCCUCUUUAGGGAAUUAGAAUGCCAGACACCUAUUUGGUUCCGUGAAAAGGGAAGAGAAAUACUUUUCUCCAUGGCUCCCACCCACUCUUCUACCCCACAAAAUUGCCCUAUAAAAAUCACAGUUCCAUUUGUCAAGGGCUUCCUGUAUUCACAGUAGAUACAUGUCAUCUUACUGGCUCAGUUUUUUUGUUUUUUGUUUUGUUUUUUUCUUUAAAGAUGUACUUAUUUUAUGUGUGUGUGUGUUUUGUCUGCAUGUAUGUCUAUGC
Molecule: long non-coding RNA, 1821 nt
Organism: Mastomys coucha (southern multimammate mouse)
Lineage: Eukaryota; Metazoa; Chordata; Mammalia; Rodentia; Muridae
Exons: 4
Source: RefSeq, a predicted model, not a curated record